GUCUACACCGAUGCCACCCUGAACAAGCUGGAUCCUGUCUGAUCUCGGAAGCUCAGCAGGGUCGGGCCUGGUUUGUAUUUGGAUGGGAGACCACCUAGGAAGACCAGGUGCUGUAGGCA
RNAcentral lists this ribosomal RNA (119 nucleotides) under Pteropus alecto (black flying fox). Lineage: Eukaryota; Metazoa; Chordata; Mammalia; Chiroptera; Pteropodidae. The record is from RNAcentral.